AUUGAACGCUGGCGGCGUGCUUAACACAUGCAAGUCGAUCGGUAACGCGGGGGCAACCCUGGCGACGAGAGGCGGACGGGUGAGGAACGCUUGGGAAUCUGCCUAUCAGCGGGGGACAACCCGGGGAAACUCGGGCUAAUACCGCAUACGCUCUACGGAGGAAAGCCGGGGACCGCAAGGCCUGGCACUGAUAGAUGAGCCCAAGGCGGAGUAGCUAGUUGGCGGGGUAACGGCCCACCAAGGCGACGAUCCGUAGCUGGUCUGAGAGGACGAUCAGCCACACUGGGACUGAGACACGGCCCAGACUCCUACGGGAGGCAGCAGUGGGGAAUAUUGGACAAUGGGGGAAACCCUGAUCCAGCGACGCCGCGUGGGUGAAGAAGGCCUGCGGGUUGUAAAGCCCUUUCGGUAGGGACGAAAGCUCUCGACCUAACACGUCGGGAGGUUGACUUAACCUACAGAAGAAGCACCGGCUAACUCUGUGCCAGCCGCCGCCGUAA
This 500-nucleotide ribosomal RNA is filed under the name uncultured bacterium. Its description in RNAcentral is "partial 16S ribosomal RNA". It matches the Rfam family "Bacterial small subunit ribosomal RNA", at positions 29 to 523 of the family's 1533-position model. The record is from RNAcentral.